RNAcentral lists this transfer RNA (61 nucleotides) under Phloeosinus perlatus. RNAcentral describes it as "tRNA-Cys". The record is from RNAcentral. Lineage: Eukaryota; Metazoa; Arthropoda; Insecta; Coleoptera; Curculionidae.
GACCUAAUAGUCAAUUAUGAUUUUAAAUUGCAAGUUUAAAGGUAAAUAAAAUUUUUAGGUU